Molecule: non-coding RNA, 30 nt
Filed under: Mus musculus (house mouse)
Lineage: Eukaryota; Metazoa; Chordata; Mammalia; Rodentia; Muridae
Source: RNAcentral
UGCAGUGCUAAUGUAUUGGUAGGCCAAAUU